This 818-nucleotide ribosomal RNA is filed under the name Actinomyces radicidentis. Its description in RNAcentral is "bacterial SSU rRNA". It matches the Rfam family "Bacterial small subunit ribosomal RNA", at positions 74 to 885 of the family's 1533-position model. Lineage: Bacteria; Bacillati; Actinomycetota; Actinomycetes; Actinomycetales; Actinomycetaceae. The record is from RNAcentral.
CCCAGCUUGCUGGGGUGGAUGAGUGGCGAACGGGUGAGUAACACGUGAGUAACCUGCCCCCUUCUUCUGGAUAACUGCCGGAAACGGUAGCUAAUACGGGAUACUCAUUCCCUGCCGCAUGGUGGGGUUUGGAAAGGUUUUUCUGGUGGGGGAUGGGCUCGCGGCCUAUCAGCUUGUUGGUGGGGUGAUGGCCUACCAAGGCUUUGACGGGUAGCCGGCCUGAGAGGGUGGACGGUCACACUGGGACUGAGACACGGCCCAGACUCCUACGGGAGGCAGCAGUGGGGAAUAUUGCACAAUGGGCGCAAGCCUGAUGCAGCGACGCCGCGUGAGGGAUGAAGGCCUUCGGGUUGUAAACCUCUUUCGCCAGUGAAGCAGGCCAGGCCUUAUUGGCUUGGUUGACGGUAGCUGGAUAAGAAGCGCCGGCUAACUACGUGCCAGCAGCCGCGGUAAUACGUAGGGCGCAAGCGUUGUCCGGAAUUAUUGGGCGUAAAGAGCUCGUAGGCGGCUGGUCGCGUCUGUCGUGAAAUCCCCUGGCUUAACUGGGGGCUUGCGGUGGGUACGGGCCGGCUUGAGUGCGGUAGGGGAGACUGGAACUCCUGGUGUAGCGGUGGAAUGCGCAGAUAUCAGGAAGAACACCGGUGGCGAAGGCGGGUCUCUGGGCCGUUACUGACGCUGAGGAGCGAAAGCGUGGGGAGCGAACAGGAUUAGAUACCCUGGUAGUCCACGCCGUAAACGUUGGGCACUAGGUGUGGGGGCUCUUUCCGGGGUUUCCGCGCCGUAGCUAACGCAUUAAGUGCCCCGCCUGGGGAGUACGG